GCGGCACGAGUUGUAGAUUGCAGGUUGGAGUCUGUGUGGAAGGCGGUGUCCAAGUCCCUUGGAACAGGGCGCCCAGGAGGGUGAGAGCCCCGUGGGAUGCCGGCGGAAGCAGUGAGGCCCUUCUGACGAGUCGAGUUGUUUGGGAAUGCAGCUCCAAGCGGGUGGUAAAUUCCAUCUAAGGCUAAAUACUGGCGAGAGACCGAUAGCGAACAAGUACUGUGAAGGAAAGAUGAAAAGCACUUUGAAAAGAGAGUGAAACAGCACGUGAAAUUGUUGAAAGGGAAGGGUAUUGCGCCCGACAUGGGGAUUGCGCACCGCUGCCUCUCGUGGGCGGCGCUCUGGGCUUUCCCUGGGCCAGCAUCGGUUCUUGCUGCAGGAGAAGGGGUUCUGGAACGUGGCUCUUCGGAGUGUUAUAGCCGGGGCCAGAUGCUGCGUGCGGGGACCGAGGACUGCGGCCGUGUAGGUCACGGAUGCUGGCAA
This 480-nucleotide ribosomal RNA is filed under the name Pichia kudriavzevii. RNAcentral describes it as "eukaryotic LSU rRNA". It matches the Rfam family "Eukaryotic large subunit ribosomal RNA", at positions 133 to 632 of the family's 3401-position model. The record is from RNAcentral. Lineage: Eukaryota; Fungi; Ascomycota; Pichiomycetes; Pichiales; Pichiaceae.